AGCAGAGAUUAAACUGAAGAGUUUGAUCCUGGCUCAGAUUGAACGCUGGCGGCAUGCCUUACACAUGCAAG
Molecule: ribosomal RNA, 71 nt
Filed under: Betaproteobacteria bacterium
Lineage: Bacteria; Pseudomonadati; Pseudomonadota; Betaproteobacteria
Description: partial 16S ribosomal RNA
Source: RNAcentral